RNAcentral lists this long non-coding RNA (1888 nucleotides) under Amborella trichopoda. RNAcentral's name for it is "long non-coding RNA (ATRI_LNC003386)". Lineage: Eukaryota; Viridiplantae; Streptophyta; Magnoliopsida; Amborellales; Amborellaceae. The record is from RNAcentral.
GUAAUUUCUCAUUGAUUACCAAUUAUUAUUUUUAUUAUUCUUGUUUUUAUUACAUAGGUGGCCAAAAAAUACACAUGAAAUGAUAGACUAUUUACUAUUAAUUUUUGAAAUUAUGGUGUAAAUACAACUCACACCUCCUAAGUUUGGCCAAAAGUCAUCAUAUUUUUUCUUAUUACCUCUAACUAUGUUCUUUUGGGCCUACACUUUGCCUCUUUUGAGCCUUCCACUUGAACUAACUCGCACUUCCUAACGGGUGUUGUACUGGGUUUGCGCUACACAAGGCCAGUCUGCUUAAGUCUACUCUUUCUUUCAUCUUAUCGCCUAUUGGUGCCACACCUAAAGUUUUUUUUGAUGUAUCCAUUACGAAUUACCUAGCUGUUUGCUCAAAAUAUGCAUCAACUUUUGCAAUGAUACAAAAACAUAUGACCAAAACAGAUUUUUUUUUAUUAUUAUUAUGUUUGUUAUUUGGAUUCUUGGGAUUAGAGUUCUUGGGCACCAGUAGACACCCUGUUUAUUUUAAAUCCAAAACAACAUUCUAUCAAAGAACCUCUGUUUAAUUGACUUCAUUGUUAGAAUGGAGAGAGAGAGAGAGUAAUUAAAAGAAAAGACGAAUGGAAUUGUGGUAGAUAAUACAUUAUAUAUAUUAUCCUUAUACCUUACUCAGCAAAGAGGCACCUCCUUAGUCUCCUUCUCUUUCUGCCUUUUAUUCACUCCUACUUUGUCACUCAAAUUGUCCUCACAUGAAGCUUCCUUAGGCACCAAUAUAGAUUCUCAAGAGUAUGGCUCUUAAUGGAGACAGUUGCUCAAUGGUAAGGCUCUUAAUGGAGACAGUUGCUCAAUGGUAUGGUUCUUAAUGGAGACAGUUGCUCAAUGUGAGCAGGUAUCGUCGUAGUGAACGGAUAAAGGCAGUUUAUUGAGACCAUAUAAACCCGGAUGAAGUGGGCUGUGUGCUUGACUUUUAGAAUUAGGAUAUGUGUCCUCGGGAAAGUGUGCUCCUUGCCUACUUCCCACGUCUUAGCUGCUAUUCCUUCUUUCAUGGGGACUGUGGUCUUCCAACUCAACAUUUCAUCCAAGUACCUCCUCUAACAAUGGAUACUGGCAAGAGCUGACUUGAUGAAGCGUUAAGUCGCUGACGUGAUGUUGCCUUUAGGUAGCAUCAAAUCAUUGACUUGAUAUCUCAUUUAGGUCAGUGUCACAGUAUAUGGACGAGAGUUUUCCAUGUACACUCAUAAGCUGUUUCCCAUAGGCCUUGUAGAGUGUGCCAUGGAUGCAAUCAUGAUAGUCACAAGAUAGAACAGUUCAUAAAAUAUUAGUGAUCUAUGAAAGACAUGAGCCAUAUUGGGCAUAUGCUAUUUUAGAGAUAGGCUAUAUGUCAGAACCAUGAGUCAUGUUAGACACUAACCACUUAAGGCAUCGGCAUAAUGCGAACAUUUUCUAAUGGGCAAUUGUGGCUACGCCAAGCCAUAGUUGUUGGGAUCUUCCAACCCAAGUCGUGAUCUUGCUCCGGAAUAUUGCUCCGGUGCUCUGGGAAAGGAAUCUUAAUGGGAUCUCAAUUUUUAAAUUUUGGAAUCUCGAUCCCCGUUAUUAGGGAACCCAAUCUCCAAAGUGAUUAUUUGUUUUAUUUAUAGCCAACUAGCAUUGCAAUUAUGCUUUUAAUAUCUAUGCAUUGCUUACUGGCUAUAAAUAAAGAAAUUCUAUUUUAAGCUCAGAAGCAAGAUCCCCUAUAAAGUUGAGAUUGAGAUCCCAAAAGGCAGUAUGGAGAUCCCCAAAAGGUGGGAUUGAGAGCCCAAAACUUUAAGGAUCUCAAUUCGUAACAUAUGCAUUGUACGGGCAAGUUCCGAUAACAUUGGGAAACAUGCACAUCGUAUUUGCACAUGUAGCAUUUGCA